Non-coding RNA from Characodon lateralis, 102 nucleotides. Lineage: Eukaryota; Metazoa; Chordata; Actinopteri; Cyprinodontiformes; Goodeidae. The record is from the annotation of a GenBank genome assembly.
GGCUGUGUGUCUCAGUUGGUAGAGCAUUUGGACAUAGUGUGUAGAGGCUAUAGUCUCUAUACUCCUUGUGGCUGCCCUGGGUUCAGUUCCCAGUCCCAGCCA